RNAcentral lists this unclassified non-coding RNA (412 nucleotides) under soil metagenome. RNAcentral's name for it is "partial contains 5.8S ribosomal RNA, internal transcribed spacer 2, and large subunit ribosomal RNA". The stretch from base 1 to 120 matches the Rfam family "5.8S ribosomal RNA", at positions 35 to 154 of the family's 154-position model. The record is from RNAcentral.
GAUGAAGAACGUAGCGAAAUGCGAUACGUAGUGUGAAUUGCAGAAUUCCGUGAACCAUCAAAUCUUUGAACGCAUAUUGCGCUCGAGGCUUCGGCCGAGAGCAUGUCUGCCUCAGCGUCGGUAUUACCCCUCGCUUCUCAACCCCUGGUUGAUGCCUGCCUGCCUUUGCAGUUGGCUAGAGGCGGAUCUGGCUUUCCCAAUUGCCUUUGGUAGUUGGGUCAGCUGAAGCACAGAGGCUUGAGCAAGGACCCUUAUUGGGCUUCAACUGGAUAGGUAGAACUGGUCUUAGGACCAACUACACGAAGUUGUUGCUUGUGGUCUUUGUCUGGAGGCCAGCAGGAAACCUUUAUACCUUCGACCUGAGCUCAGGCAAGAUUACCCGCUGAACUUAAGCAUAUCAAUAAGCGGAGGA